Molecule: long non-coding RNA, 1317 nt
Organism: Salmo salar (Atlantic salmon)
Lineage: Eukaryota; Metazoa; Chordata; Actinopteri; Salmoniformes; Salmonidae
Source: RefSeq, a predicted model, not a curated record
UCCCAGACAGUGUACCAUGGCCUCUCUCUCCUCUCCCCUCCCCUCCUCUCUCUCAGACAGUGUACCAUGGCCUCUCUCUCCUCUCCCCUCCCCUCACCUGACAGUUUCUAUAUCAAGUGACAUCUCCCUCCAUCCAGGAUACGCUGACAGUGUACCAUGGCUUCUCUCUCUCUGUCCCUGGGACUGCUGGUGCUGUGCACCCUGGCUCUUGUACACUGUGACCUGGAUGACAGCCAUGUCAGGGUGUGGGGCCUUAGUGCCUCCAACCUGAAAGGAGACCUCCUCUCCCAGCCAGACCCCUACGUCAAGGUGUGGUGUGGCCCAGCCUUCGGUGGCAUCACCAGCAUUCUGUAGAACCAGGCCAACCCCAUCCUGGCCCGGCGAGUUCAACUUCGUAGACAUCAUCCACAAUUCUGUCGUGAAGCUGGAGGUGUGGGAUGACGACGUCGGACUAGAUGACUGUCUGGGGAAACUGCACCACAACCAUCCGCUCAGGAACACACACUGAGACCUGCCACCUGAAGAGAGGCACCGUCUACUACACCUACAGCUACAAGAAGGAACAGCACCAACAGAAUGAUCAUUAGAGUGUAACCUAUGACCUUGUGUCUGAUUGGCUCUCUCACACUGUCACUCAUGUAUUCACUUCCUUAUAGCAUAAAACAUUGUUUUUUACUGUGAGAUGUUCUCAGUCUGGCUGUUUCUGUAUUGUUUUAUGCUUCUCAGAAGAUGUCUUAGAUUGGUCCAUAGAAUAUUAAAAGUGGUAAAUCAAUAUUUCUACCAGCUUUUAGGUUUUAUGUCGAAGCUUUUACCAUUUGACAUUUACCUUUCACAGUAUAUCAUUAUUGUGCUUAAACUUGAGCUUAAUAUAACUUUGAUCAUUCAAAGGUUUGGCCUUCGUUCGAUCCUUCAAAGAAUCCCCAUUAAUGGUUCCUUGAAGAGCUUUUUGGGGUUCACCCCCACCCCCUUGGUAUUUGGUAUUUAUUAGGAUCCCCAUCAUCUCUCUGAUUCAGAGGGGUUGGGUUAAAUGCGGAAGACACAUUUCAGGUGAAUACAUUCAGUUGUACAACUGACUAGGUAUCAUCCUUUCUCUUUCCCUUUCCAUUAGCCACUGCGAAAGCGUCAGCUACUCUUCUUGGGGUCCACAUGAAACAUGACAUAAUACAUAGCACAGAACAUUAUUAGUCAAGGACUGAAAUGCAUACAUUUUUAAAAUGUCACACAUAGCCUACAUAUCAGUACAUGCACACAAUAUCUAGGUCUAAUACAUAGUACAGGGCAAAUUACAAUACAAUAAAUAUAAAAUGGCUAUUCACA